Molecule: ribosomal RNA, 581 nt
Filed under: uncultured bacterium
Lineage: Bacteria
Description: bacterial SSU rRNA
Rfam family: Bacterial small subunit ribosomal RNA
Source: RNAcentral
ACUAGAGAUUAAUUUGAUCCUGGCUCAGAAUCCCGCNGGGUACGUGCCUAACACAUGCAAGUCGAUCGCGAAGAUCCCGCAAGGGAUUUGUAGCGUGGCAAACGGGUGAGUAACACGUGGGUGACCUGCCUUCGAGCGGGGGAUAACGUUCCGAAAGGGACGCUAAUACCGCAUGACAUCCUGCUUUUGAACAAGUGGAGAUCAAAGCCGGGGAUCGCAAGACCUGGCACUCGAAGAGGGGCCCGCGCCUGAUUAGCUAGUUGGUGAGGUAACGGCUCACCAAGGCAACGAUCAGUAUCCGGCCUGAGAGGGCGGACGGACACACUGGGACUGAGACACGGCCCAGGCUCCUACGGGAGGCAGCAGUGGGGAAUUGUUCGCAAUGGGCGCAAGCCUGACGACGCAACGCCGCGUGGAGGAUGAAGAUCUUCGGGUCGUAAACUCCUUUCGAUCGAGACGAACGGCUUCCGUGCUAAUCAACGGGAGAGUGACGGUACCGAGAGAAGAAGCCCCGGCUAACUCCGUGCCAGCAGCCGCGGUAAUACGGGGGGGGCAAGCGUUGUUCCGGAAUUAACUCUGGG